GGGUCAGUAGGUUGGUCGUGCCACCGGUACGUACUGGUCUCACCGAUUCCUCCUUCCUGAAGAACCGUAAUGCCAUUAAUUUGGUGUUGCGGGGAAACAGGACUGUUACUUUGAAAAAAUUAGAGUGUUUAAAGCAAGCUAACGCUUGAAUACAUUAGCAUGGAAUAAUGAAAUAGGACGAUCGAUCCUAUUUUGUUGGUUUCUGGGAUUGACGUA
RNAcentral lists this ribosomal RNA (216 nucleotides) under Glomeromycotina sp. Its description in RNAcentral is "partial small subunit ribosomal RNA". The stretch from base 46 to 216 matches the Rfam family "Eukaryotic small subunit ribosomal RNA", at positions 692 to 864 of the family's 1831-position model. The record is from RNAcentral. Lineage: Eukaryota; Fungi; Glomeromycota.